UACGGAGGGUGCGAGCGUUGUCCGGAAUCAUUGGGCGUAAAGGGCGCGUAGGUGGCCCGCUCAGCGUGCGGUGAAAGCUCGGGGCUCAACCCCGAGUCGGCCGUGCGAACUGGUGGGCUGGAGCACUGUAGAGGCAGGCGGAAUUCCGGGUGUAGCGGUGGAAUGCGUAGAGAUCCGGAAGAACACCGGUGGCGAAGGCGGCCUGCUGGGCAGUGCUGACACUGAGGCGCGACAGCGUGGGGAGCAAACAGGGAUUAGAAACCC
This 264-nucleotide ribosomal RNA is filed under the name uncultured bacterium. RNAcentral describes it as "partial 16S ribosomal RNA". It matches the Rfam family "Bacterial small subunit ribosomal RNA", at positions 524 to 787 of the family's 1533-position model. The record is from RNAcentral.